This is a non-coding RNA of Nylanderia fulva, 731 nucleotides long. Lineage: Eukaryota; Metazoa; Arthropoda; Insecta; Hymenoptera; Formicidae. The record is from RefSeq and is a predicted model, not a curated record.
GCAAGUGCCAGUUGCUCCGCGGCACUCGUUACGGUUGGUCACUCAGAACGCUUGGUUGCUGUCUCUUAAAAGGAUCCUUCUUUCGGCCGUCUCUAACCUUUUGGUCAGUCGGCGAUUAUCCGGAGAACUCGCGUGGAAGAUUAUUAAUUGGAAUUAAUUGGACUUAACUGAGUGAAGUUGCAGUGGAACGUGCUGUAUGUUAAGAACGCAGGAAUGUAGCGACUGUAGCGAGUGAAUAGUGUCGUGUAUGGGCGUGUUUUUCAGACAAGUACCUUUGAUCUUCGAUUGUUCUCUCUAAAAACAUAUUGAAAAGAUUCCGGGGAACAUGACGUUACCGACGAUACGCGUUGCUAUAUUCAUCUUGUUGCUCGUCGUUGAUCUUUAUCAUGCAACUAACACCGUGACAUCAGCUAAGUAGAAUUUUUCCUAAUGUGCCACCGGCAUUAACAUUAAUCGAGGUUUUAUACCAUAUGGAAACUAUAUGAUUAGGAAGAAUGUAGAAAAAGGAUAGCUGAAUGCACGAUGAACGGUGGUGGAAGCACACCUGUAUGCGGAAGUGACGGAAUUACAUAUUCUAAUCAGUGUCAGAUUAUUUCUAAGCAAUGUCAAGGCGUGUCUAUUCUUAUCAAACAUAUUGGGCCUUGUCCAGGUUUGUAUUUUAACAUUAUAAGUAGAAUAUCAAUGUUGAUAACAAAAAAACAUUGAAUAUUUGUGAUUAUAUGUGAACGACA